This 1680-nucleotide long non-coding RNA is filed under the name Rattus norvegicus (Norway rat). RNAcentral's name for it is "long non-coding RNA NONRATT023691". Lineage: Eukaryota; Metazoa; Chordata; Mammalia; Rodentia; Muridae. The record is from RNAcentral.
GCGGGGGUGGUCUGGACGCGCGGGCGCGGAGGAUCCGGCGCCAGCUCUGGAACUCUGGAGUUCUCCGGGGAGGGAAACUGUCAAACGGAGGCCGAGUGAAAUUAGGCGGAGGCUGUAAAGAAGCGAGGAGCCCCGCCCCUCCGCCAUAGCAGCCACCGGCGCCGCCUCUUCCUUUGCGGCCUCCGGCCCUCGUCUGCUUCCGGCCCUGUUGCCUGGCCCGGCCCCGCCGUUCCCUAGGGGCGAAGCCCUGGGCCGCGGCUCCCUUGGGAAUUUGGAAGCCAGAGGAAGCUCAGUCCUGAUGGUGUGAGGAUGGGGCUCCUGGACCCGUCCCAGAAAGAGGUGCUGAAAUUUGCAGUGAGCUGCCGCAUCCUGACUCUAGUGCUACAGGUUCUCACGCGACUUCUGGGCUCUUCCACUCCCAUCACAUACUGGUUUCCAGCUUACCUGCUUCAGGAUCGAGAACCACUGUUAAGAUGUGUAGACACAGCCCCUCAGAAGCUUCUUGAGAAUUCCCCACCAGGACAAAAGGCCCCCAGAAACUGUGUCAUGAAACUCUUAUACAACUGGAAGACCUGCUCUCCAGUCACAAAAUGCAUCCUAGUCUACUUCCUGACCUACUGGCUCCUGGGACUAAUUAUGCAUUGCAACUUCCUGCCUUGGACUUGACCUGGAAUCUCAGGGCAAGCUGGAAGCUAAUUUAAGCCUGGGUCUGAAAGCUGUAAGACACCCCAACUAGGACUGCCUGGACACUCCUGGAGCACUGUCCAGUGGGAUUUCCCCAUGUCUCUCUGGAGGCCAGUUAAGAAGGGAAAAUGGGAGCCUCUCAUCCUGGGCGGGGUGAAUUUAGGGGAGUAACUUCGCUGCUCAGUAGAUCUGUCUCAAAUCUUCCUGGUCAACAAGUAUGAGGCAAUCUUGAACCUACCUCUGAUCCAUGUGUAAGUCUUCAUCUUUUUGUUUUUCCAUAGAGGGUUUCUCUGCGUAGCCCUGGCGUCUUGGAACUCACUCUGUAAACCAGAUUUGUGCAGACCAGGCUAACCUGGAACUCAAGAGAUCCACCUGCUUCUGCCUCCUGAGUGCUAGGAUUAAAGCCAUGAGCCACCACUGCCUGGCCUGGUGGGUAAAUUUAAAUGUUUGCUCAAAUCACAGGCAACAGCCUAGUCCAUUCAUGACGAUGGAGAUAGUGCAAUGUAAUGACUGAAGGAAAAAGGAACUGCCUGCUCUAAAAGAGAGGUUUCUGAAGUUUUCUUUAUGAUACGUGUGUGUGUGUGUGUGUGUGUGUGUGUGUGUGUGUGUUACAGACUAAGACAAUCUAAAAACUCCUUUUUGCAAUGAACUACCUUUUUCUGGAGGAGGGGUGGUCAUGGGAUUUAGGCAAGGUCCCUCUGUGUACCUCUGGCUGUCCUAGAACUUGCUGUGUAGAUCUGGCUGUCCUGGAACUUGCUGUGUAGAUCUGGCUGUCCUAGAACUUGCUAUGUAGAUCUGGCUGGUCUUGACCACAGAUUCUCCUGCCUCUGCCUCCUGAGGGCUGGGAGUAAAAGUGUACUCCACAGGCUCUACGGAACUAGUUUCUAUAAACCAUAGGGGUUAGGGGGUAGAACUCAGCAGUAAAGUGUGUGAGGCCCUAAUUUCAGUAAUAAAUGUCACCUGGAUCAGAGCACUGGCUCUGGUUCCUCAUUUUCC